Molecule: non-coding RNA, 185 nt
Filed under: Atopostipes suicloacalis
Lineage: Bacteria; Bacillati; Bacillota; Bacilli; Lactobacillales; Carnobacteriaceae
Description: 6S RNA
Rfam family: 6S / SsrS RNA
About the family: E. coli 6S RNA was the first non coding RNA to be sequenced, but its function was unknown until recently. It consists of 184 nucleotides that fold into an extended hairpin structure with a large single-stranded internal bulge.
Source: RNAcentral
AGAUAUCUGAUGUGUACGCGAUACCUCAUAAUGUGUGAACCCUACAAGUCAUUUAAUUAGGGAUCCUAAUGAGGUUGACAAUGACAAGCCUUUUCACUUGGAAGUCAGAAUCAAUCUUUGUGGAGCCCACCUGCAAAUAGCGGGUUCUAAACUAGAGGUAACCAACCGGCACGAUCGGAUAUCUU